AAACUAGGAUUAGAUACCCUAUUAUUUUUAUUAAGAUAAUUUUUAAUUUAAAUAUUAAAUGUGAAGCAUUAAAGAUAAAAAAUUUGGCGGUAUUUAAUAUUUAGAGGAACUUGUUUAUUAAUUUGAUAAUCCACGAAUGGAGGGACUUAAUUUUAUAAUUUUUAUGUAUUGUUGUUGAAAAAUUAUAUUAAAAGAUAUUAGUUAAGAAAUUUAAUUAAAUUAUAAUUCAAAUCAAAAUGUAGAAUAAUUAAGAUUAAAAUGAGUUACAAUUAGUUUAAAAAUUGGAUUUUUAAAAGAAAUUUAAUUUAAUUUAAAGAUGAAAAUGGAUUUAAGAGUAAAUUUAUAAAAAUUUAUAAGUGAAUAAAAAUUUUAU
RNAcentral lists this ribosomal RNA (373 nucleotides) under Camponotus sp. MG053. RNAcentral's name for it is "partial 12S ribosomal RNA". Lineage: Eukaryota; Metazoa; Arthropoda; Insecta; Hymenoptera; Formicidae. The record is from RNAcentral.